Molecule: RNA transcript, 3099 nt
Organism: Cucumis melo (muskmelon)
Lineage: Eukaryota; Viridiplantae; Streptophyta; Magnoliopsida; Cucurbitales; Cucurbitaceae
Gene name: probable mitochondrial adenine nucleotide transporter BTL3
Exons: 5
Source: RefSeq, a predicted model, not a curated record
GGUUUUUUAACCUUGACUUGAUCGAGACAAAAAGAAUAUAUAUUAAUUAUUGUAGAUGCACAUCUACUCGCUUUGGUCUUGUUGUUUUUGUUAGAUAUGUUCAUGGGACGACCUUGGUUCUGUUCUCUCUGUCACUUCUUUAUUUCAGUUUUGAGAAAUUCUUCGAUCAAGACAAAAGAAACUAUCUGUUUUUGUUUUGUUUUUUUGUUUUCUUAAAUCAAUUAAGUUUAAGGAAUUGUAUUUUUUUAGUUAUUGAUCAUACUCUAUUUCUUAUUAUUGCAAAUAUUAGCUAUGAAUUAGUUGAGAUAAACAAUUUCCAUCAAUUUUAGACUAUGUACGAUCAAAACAUGUUAUUGAAUUUCGUUUCUAUUAAAAAAGAAAACCUAUAUUAUUUCUAUGAAGUUGUUAUAGAGUCUUUUAAAAUUACUCUAAGUGUAAGAAUUUGUUAGAAUAUAAUGUUUGAAUGAAGUAGGGACUUUGGGAUGGGUAUGAGCUACGGUGUUGAAAUGGUCGGAUUUAGGUUUUAAUUUUCAUUCCAAAUCAUGGUCAUCGUAGUGUUUUAUUUAUCAAUUUCAUUUAACACUUUUAUGUAUUUAGACUAAAUGGUAGUUUUAAAAUGUUUAUAAAACAUUGUGAAAGACAAUUACAAUUUUCUUUUUGGUUAAAAUAGCUUGAACUUUCAACCUUUUAAAAAAUUCAAUUGUAUUAGUAUAUAUAAACAUAAAACUUUAAGCUUAAUAUUUCAUCGGCAAUACAUCUGCGAACUUUUACUAGUUGUAUUAGUACUUUUUACCCUCUCAAUAAAAAACACGGGGAAUUGUUAUGAAGACAAUAUUUUACUAUUUUUAAAAAUGUCUCCUUACAUAAAGUAUAAUGAUCUUUUUUAUUUUUGAUUUUUAACUGUCUUCUUUCUCUUUUUUAUUAUUAAAAAUCGAGCUUUUAUAUUAAAAUUAGAUCUUAUUGUUUUUUUGUGACAUUUUUCUAAAUAACAAACAUAUAUCCAUCCUUAUAAUGAGUUGUUUUUAUUGAGUUUGGUAUUGAUUGCUUUGUUUAUUUAUUUAUUAAAAUUUAAUUUUUAUAUAUUAAAAACUAUAGAAACAAAUAUUUUUCUUUCAUUAGUUUUUCUCUCGAAACAAAUCAAAAUGUCUAAUUUUACACCGAAGUUUCAAAUAGCGGUCGAUAGUUCAAAUCGAUAUGAUUAAUACAUUUAGAGUUAAAAUUAAUUUUUUUCUAAACUAAGAUGAAUGCAGCUCAAUUAACAACUUCCUAUUAAUAAAGUUUAGAUUAGAAGUUUAAUUUAUAUAUUUAGUAACUCAUUUGGCAUUGGAGUGUUAAACUAAGUUCUCAUUUUAAUAACUCAUUUUAAGUUCUCAUUUCUCUUAACAAAAAAAAAAAAAAACAUGAUGGCUUUUUAUUGAAAAAAGAAAAAAAGAGAAAAGAAACGAAGAAGAAAAGAGAUUGGAUUAAGUUUGGUUUAGCGCUUGGGUGGCAUGAGUGUUCAUUAUCAUUUCUUCCUGGCCUCGAUAGCUGAAACUCAAAAUUGUUUCAAUCUUCAAAGAUUAUCGAAUCCAUUCUCUCAAAUCCCCAUGAAUUCCACAAUCCAUUAUUCCUUUUUCCUCCAUUGUUGAAAUGCCUCGCCCUGAGCUUGGUUCUUCCCCUUCCUCCUCACACCAACCAUCUCAACCUCACCGUUUCUCUCCAUCUACCGCCAAUUUCACCUUCUUUGUCCCCGCCGGCGGCUUGUUUCUCGACCCUUUUCUUCCAUCUUCUUUCCUCAACUCAAUUUCCCUCAAGAGUAACUCAAUUCAAGAUUCCGGUUCUGUUUCUGUUUCUGUUUCCACUCCUUUCUGUCAUCAAGAACAUCCUCUGUUGUUUGGGGUUUUCCGGUCCCGGAAGAACCCUCGCAUUGCUCACUGCGGGUUUUUGUCUGUUAGUGUUAGAGGUCAUGGAUUUGUUCGGGAGCAGAAGGUUCAUGUUAAUGCCUAUGACAAUUGUAAGAAGGCGGGAGAAUGCGGGGAAGAUUUUGCCAUUGUUGAGAAGAAGCAUACUGUACGGACAAGGGGUGCUAUGAAUACUACGAAGCACCUUUGGUCUGGUGCGAUUGCCGCCAUGGUUUCAAGAACUUUAGUUGCUCCACUUGAGAGGCUAAAGUUGGAAUAUAUAGUUCGUGGUGAGCAGAGAAAUCUAUGUGAUCUCGUCAAGAAAAUUGCAGCUUCUCAAGGGUUGAAAGGGUUUUGGAAGGGAAAUUUCGUCAAUAUUCUUCGAACAGCUCCGUUUAAAGCAAUCAACUUUUAUGCUUACGAUACGUACAGAAAACAACUGCUUAAAUUGUCUGGACACAAGAAUACCACGAAUUUUGAGAGAUUUGUUGCUGGUGCUGCAGCAGGCAUUACUGCAACCGUACUUUGCCUACCACUUGACACAAUCCGAACGAAGAUAGUGGCGCCUGGUGGGGAAGCAUUAGGCGGUGUUGUUGGUGCUUUUCGCCACAUGAUCCAAACUGAAGGGUUCUUUUCUCUUUACAAGGGCUUACUACCCUCCAUUUUAAGUGUGGCGCCUUCUGGUGCUGUUUUCUAUAGCGUCUACGAUAUACUAAAGACUGCUUAUCUUCAUUCACCCGAAGGAAGGCAAAGAAUACGGAACAUGAACCAGCAGGGGCAGGGGCAGGAGUUGAAUGCUCUGGAUCAGUUGGAGUUGGGACCUAUUAGGACUUUACUGUAUGGUGCUAUAUCUGGUGCUUGUGCUGAAUUAGUGACGUACCCAUUUGAAGUAAUCAGGAAGCAACUUCAAAUGCAAGUCCAGGCAACUAGAAUGAGUGCUUUUGCAACCUGUUCUAAGAUAGUUCAGCAAAGAGGAAUACAAGCUUUAUAUGCAGGACUUCUUCCCAGCCUUUUACAGGUACUUCCUUCAGCUGCCAUAAGUUUUUUCGUUUACGAGUUUAUGAAGAUUAUUCUUAAAGUGGAAUGAACGAUGACAACAAAAUUUAGGAGGAGACUGAUCAGUUAGCCCAACACAGUUCACAGUUAAGCAUCGGAAAUGCCCUUGAAACAUAACCACAUUAUGGAGCUUCGUUUUGAAAAGAAUGUUCACACAAUCCAA